RNAcentral lists this ribosomal RNA (97 nucleotides) under uncultured bacterium. RNAcentral's name for it is "partial 16S ribosomal RNA". It matches the Rfam family "Bacterial small subunit ribosomal RNA", at positions 1388 to 1482 of the family's 1533-position model. The record is from RNAcentral.
CACCGCCCGUCACAUCACGAAAGUGGGUUGUACUAGAAGCGCCAGCGCUAACCCGUAAGGGAGGCAUGGUGUAACGGUAUGAUCCAUGAUUGGGGUG